UCCCCGGUAGUGUGACACGUAGCACACUUGUCUGUAAAACGAGAGGUGUGGGUUCGAAUCCCUCAUGGGAGG
Molecule: non-coding RNA, 72 nt
Organism: Teladorsagia circumcincta
Lineage: Eukaryota; Metazoa; Nematoda; Chromadorea; Rhabditida; Trichostrongylidae
Source: the annotation of a GenBank genome assembly